GGUACAUUGGAUUCAAUGAAUUGUACAUAUAUAUUUUAUUUGAACAAUAUUGACCCGGUUCCAAUUUAACUAUCUUUAGAUGUAAAGAACUUACCCAGCUAAAGAAUUAACCACACAAUCAAAUACGGUAGAGUCGUGAUAUAUUUUGUGGAUCUUUAAUAAUUUCUAUCAAAGCAUUAAUUGAAAGAACAGUUAUUGUAUCUAAAAUAGUUUUUGGUUAUCAUCAGAUAAUUUAAAUGGUGGUCUAACAACAGAAUAAAUAGACAACAUUCGAUAUAGUUGAAGGAAUGUAGGACUGGUGGGAUGAUCGUUGGAUCCGUUUAUAGUCUAAUUAUUCUAAAAAUGUCUAAAAAAAUGUAAAGAAUAAAUUGUA
This is a long non-coding RNA of Sipha flava (yellow sugarcane aphid), 373 nucleotides long. RefSeq lists it as uncharacterized. The transcript is spliced from 3 exons. The record is from RefSeq and is a predicted model, not a curated record. NCBI's taxonomy places the organism in Eukaryota, Metazoa, Arthropoda, Insecta, Hemiptera, Aphididae.